Molecule: transfer RNA, 76 nt
Filed under: Alphaproteobacteria bacterium
Lineage: Bacteria; Pseudomonadati; Pseudomonadota; Alphaproteobacteria
Description: tRNA-Val
Rfam family: tRNA
About the family: Transfer RNA (tRNA) molecules are approximately 80 nucleotides in length. Their secondary structure includes four short double-helical elements and three loops (D, anti-codon, and T loops). Further hydrogen bonds mediate the characteristic L-shaped molecular structure. tRNAs have two regions of fundamental functional importance: the anti-codon, which is responsible for specific mRNA codon recognition, and the 3' end, to which the tRNAs corresponding amino acid is attached (by aminoacyl-tRNA synthetases). tRNAs cope with the degeneracy of the genetic code in two manners: having more than one tRNA (with a specific anti-codon) for a particular amino acid; and 'wobble' base-pairing, i.e. permitting non-standard base-pairing at the 3rd anti-codon position.
Source: RNAcentral
GGGCGGUUAGCUCAGUUGGUAGAGCGCCACGUUCACACCGUGGAGGUCGUUGGUUCGAGCCCAAUACCGCCCACCA